This is a long non-coding RNA of Ailuropoda melanoleuca (giant panda), 318 nucleotides long. RefSeq lists it as uncharacterized. Lineage: Eukaryota; Metazoa; Chordata; Mammalia; Carnivora; Ursidae. The record is from RefSeq and is a predicted model, not a curated record. The transcript has 3 exons.
CUCUCUUGGUGAUAAAACUAGAAUUAUACGCUUCUUUUCCUUUCCUUUGUGGCACAGAGAUACAUAAAAGAGGGGACUCUUCAUGACAAGCCUUAACUGGAAAUUAAGAACACUGAGAAGCAAGAAGAAGAUGGAUGACAUGGAUGAAAGACAAGCAGGUAGGAAGAGAACUUCUCUCAUUGACCACGUGUUGUGUGACCUCAGGGUAAAGAGAAGUAGAACGAGGAUCCUGGCACUGGGAGCAGUAUGACUGAGUGAUCAGGUCUCACCUUCAGUUCACAUGAAAGAGUUUACCUUGCUUCCUGCCACUACCCCGAC